This 701-nucleotide long non-coding RNA is filed under the name Homo sapiens (human). RNAcentral describes it as "HSALNT0316386". The record is from RNAcentral. Lineage: Eukaryota; Metazoa; Chordata; Mammalia; Primates; Hominidae.
GCACAUCUCGUGAUUCCUCACAGUAACCCUCUUCCACAUGGUGUCUCAUGGAUUCAGGCUCUGUAUUUGAAGACUGUACCAUCUCAACUCAUGGCUUUGAGAGUUACUGCUUUUAAAUGCCUCAGCUCAGAAAAGGCACACACAUCAUUGUAAUUUGCUCCUUGUUUUGCUCUCACCUACUGGGCACAUGACCUCAGUCUAAGUGCAUGGAGGCUGGAAGAUGCAGGGUAGCACACAGAAUAUUUGAAUAAGAGUGCCCUGGAAGCAUGAGGAAGGAAGCAAUUAAUUUGGCCCAGGAGAGCUGCAAAAAGUUCCAUAGAAACCAUGAUACUGGAGCAGAGUUUUGAUCAAUGAGUACUUUCCCAGAACUUGGGUUGGAAGGAGGGCAAUCUAAGAAGAAAAAGGCUGAUGCAAAGGCUCAGAGGCAUGGUUUGCAUAUCCAUCAUAGUUCAUGACUGACAAUCUAGAGGUUGGAGCUAACAUUGAAAAACAUAUUGAUUAUUAUGGGACCAAGUGUUUCCCAAAUUAGGAUCUUCUGAUUCAAAGACCUACUACAUCCUAGACAGGGCUCCAGGUGUUAGAGAGGGGCGUAUGGAGUAUUGAGACCUACUGCGUGUGCAGACCGGAUGAAGGGCUGUGUUAAUGACUACAGCAGAAGCAGUGACCCAGAGAAGGUUGGUGAGAUGAACUUCGUCGAAGUU